This 2550-nucleotide long non-coding RNA is filed under the name Sus scrofa (pig). RNAcentral describes it as "lncRNA (ENSSSCG00015048709.1)". The record is from RNAcentral. Lineage: Eukaryota; Metazoa; Chordata; Mammalia; Artiodactyla; Suidae.
AUGGGGAAGAAGUAGAGCAUAUAGCUGUUUGUUUUUUUUUUUUAAACACAUUUUGUUUCCUAGUAAGAGCUGAGUAAGGCAAGUACUUACAUAUUUAAGUUAUCUUAUGAUUUGUUUACUUGAUCCCACCAUCUGUUCCUUCACUCUCAUGGAUAUUCAACUUCCCUUGCUAACAGGAAUGUAACUCUAAUUGUUCCUCCAUAGAUGGUGAUGGCUCCCUACACAUACAAUUGUGCUAAGUAUGAUAUUCUUUCAUUUGUUCCUUAUUUUUUCUUCCUUUCUUGCUUCCUUUCUUCCCUCCUGCCAUUUAUAUACCACCCAAUAUUCAAAACACCUUUCAUAUUUAGAUAGCUUGACAGCAUACAAUGUCUUACCCAGGUAAUUAGUCAUCACUUGGGUUACAUGACUCACUUUGAUUUAGGGAUUAUUCUAGGUAAAAUAUGUUCAAAUAAUAUUUCUUCUAGAUAGAGGAACAUAUAGCCAUCCAAGAACUUGGGACUACUGUUAGUAGACCUAGCCAGUAAGCCAAUGAUAAAAGUGGCUUAGAGGAGUUUUCUGGUGCUCAGUGGGUUAAGGAUGCAGCAUUGUCACUGCUAUAGCUUGGGUCACUGCUCUGGUGUGGGUUCCACUCCUGGCCCUGGAACUUCCACAUGCCAUGAGUGGGGCAAAAAAAUACUGACUUAGAAAGAGCAUGAGCAAACUGGUCUAUGUAGUCUUUAGGACUGGAUUUAGUGCUAUAGUUUUAUUUGUUUGCUUUUUAAAAAUCACACAGCAUGUAAUACCUAAAGGCUUAUGAAUGUUUAAUACACUCAAAGUUAGUAGUAGUCUUUCAAGUUUCUAAGGAGUAUGGAAACAACACUGUUGCUUUUUCUUGUGAUUGUUUUUUAACUCUUUAAAAAGAACUUCCUAAUUAUAAAUUAUAACCAUAUUAGAGCUAUAAAUUGAAGACUUUGAUAGAUAGCAAAUUUGCUAAAGGGCUUGUUAUCCUUAUAAAAUUUAUGAGUAUGUUAAUAUUCUAAUGAAAAAUUGCUGAGAAGUCAAAUUCAUAAUUAUGAACUACUUAAUUUAAUAAAAAUGUUGAUUCAAGUAAUUAUUUACUUAAAGCUUAAAUUUGCUGGAAAUCUUCUAGCAGAUUUUUAUUAAUAUCAUAUAAUAAACUAAUUGUGAAGCUUUUAAUUAAAUUCUCAGAGGUGACACUUUACUAAUAUUAUUUUUUCUCUAUGCCUUUGAAAAAAUUGGCUUAUCUAAUUUUCUUAUUUAAGAUGUCCAAGAAUCAGCAUUUAGAAACAUAAUAUAUUCAUUUCCCAUGGCUGGAGUUGGGAACAUUUGGUUCAUGCUUUCAAGGUGCUGGAGCAAAUUGGGAAAGGGAAAUUAAAGAGAUACAUUUCCAAUACUAAAUAGUUUCUAGAUGAUGUAGUUCUUAAAGAUUAAAUUGUAUGUCUUGAUUGGAAAUUCUCUGGUGAGAAACAGGAUAGUUUUGUCUGUUUGUAAUCUUAGGUUGAAAAUAUAUAGCAAAACAGUACAAAAUAUCUUUAACCCUAUUAAAUACUACAUUUUCACCUAAUCUUAAUGGCUAUUUCUAAUAAUUUACACAUUCACUGUUUACAGAGUAUUUCUGAACAUACUUUUCCUUUGAUCUGAGAUUCCUAUUCAGUCUGCUAAUGAAGAAUGGAAUGAAUUAGUUUCUGUAUUAACACAUCUGCAUACUUAGGAACCCAUUAAACACUGCAUGGUAAAAAUCUAAAUGCCUUUGGAAUAACUUCCUCAAUUUUCUCAAAACCAACAUCAUGGAGUAAAGUUUUGAGAUGCCCUGUCAAAAAUGACAGUUUUAAAAGUCUUUUAAGAAAUCCUUGCUAAAGUGAAAGUGCCUAAGGAAGGUAAACAUGAAAAGCAGGUUAAGGAUGGUCUGCCCUGAUUGAGUUUGGUUGUGUGGUCCUGAGUUUUGCCCCCUCACAAAUAUACAGGUAACUCCAAGGGAACCUUUUGAAUCAGAGUUUAUGAGAUGUUGGUCCAUGGGACUGUUUACAAAUUGGCUUGACAUUUUGCUGUUGUAAAGCAAAGCACAUGAAUAACGUUUCUCUUAGAAAAGAAUCCAUGAAGAACAACCCUCUCCUCUUUCCUCUCUCUGUUGACUUAUGUUAUUUAUAGUAGCAUGAGUUUAAAUCAAAUAAAUGAUAACUUAAUUGCUGCAAAUGGCAUUAUUUUGUUCUAUUUUAUGGCUGGGUAGUAUUCCAUUGUGUAUAUAUACCACAUCUUCCUAAUCCAAUCAUCUGUCGAUGGAGAUUUGGGUUGUUUCCAUGUCUUGGCUGUUGUGAAUAGUGCUGCAGUGAAAAUGCAGAUGCAUGUGUCUUUUUCAAGGAAAGUUUUGUCCAGAUAUAUGCCCAAGAGUGAGAUUGCUGGGUCAUAUGGUAGUUCUAUAUACAGAUUUCUAAGGCACUUCCACACUGUUCUCUAUAGUAAUUGUACCACUAUGUCUAGUCACUUAUGAUGGAGCAUGAUAAUGUGAGAAAAAAGAAUGUAUACAUGUAUGUGUAACUGGGUCACCAUGCU